This 231-nucleotide unclassified non-coding RNA is filed under the name uncultured Russulales. Its description in RNAcentral is "sequence contains ITS1". Lineage: Eukaryota; Fungi; Basidiomycota; Agaricomycetes; Agaricales. The record is from RNAcentral.
UCGUACAAUGGAGAUGCCCCCAGGGUUGUCGCUGACCUUUGUUGGUCGUGCACGCCCAAAGUGCUCUCUCAUGUCCAUCUCUCACCCCUUUUGUGCAUCACCGCGUGGGGCUCCCCCCUCACUGGGAUUGUCCUCCCGAGGGGGGGUUUCACGUUUUUACGCAAACACCCCAAAUUUUUUUAAUGCAUGUGUAGAAUGUGUUACUUUAUUUGCGAUCAUGCGCAAUCAAUA